Molecule: ribosomal RNA, 207 nt
Filed under: uncultured bacterium
Lineage: Bacteria
Description: partial 16S ribosomal RNA
Rfam family: Bacterial small subunit ribosomal RNA
Source: RNAcentral
CGUGUAGGCGGCCAAACAGGUCCGUUGUGAAAACUGGAGGCUUAACCUCCAGACGUCGACGGAAACCGUGUGGCUAGAGUCCGGAAGGGGAGAGUGGAAUUCCUGGUGUAGCGGUGAAAUGCGCAGAUAUCAGGAGGAACACCAGUGGCGAAAGCGGCUUUCUGGACGACAACUGACGCUGAGGCACGAAGGCCAGGGGAGCAAACG